Molecule: long non-coding RNA, 1227 nt
Organism: Triplophysa dalaica
Lineage: Eukaryota; Metazoa; Chordata; Actinopteri; Cypriniformes; Nemacheilidae
Exons: 4
Source: RefSeq, a predicted model, not a curated record
GCUGCGUUCUGUAUUGUUGUGUGUUUGAUGCAUUUUGACUUUAAUCUGGUUCAGGGUGUCUAUCAUUCUGUCACAGCUGUAUGGAUCAGCAGUCACGAUUCAGUGAAGCUUUGAUGGACAACAGGCUUACAUGAUGCUUUGGAGGUUCAGAUGGUGCCUGGAAGAGAACAAUAGACGUUUCGCUGUUAAAGAAAGACUGAAUAAACACACACAGCUGGAAGAGGAAAGUAUAAUAACCUUGUUGGGUCCAGAUUACAGAGAGAGAUAAAGCCUCUGUUAUGAUUCCUCCUGAAAGCCGACAUCAUGUCUUAAGAGUAGGUGAAAUGGCGGAGGUAAGUAGAUUUCUACAUUCUCUUUACAUGUUUAUUUAAUUCUUUAACCCUGUGUACCACAUGUUCCACGAGACGCUACUUUCCUCUGACAACUUUCUCUGGUGUGACGGCUGUUUUCUCACUCUCUCCCGCUGUGUAAAUCUGACCUGUCAGCUCCACACGUGUCCUCACAUCACCGCUGUCAGGGGGUCAUGGGUGAGUCCUGCACGCAUCAUUUGUUCAAAACACAUGUCCUCAUCGCAUUCCGCUCCUUAAAUUAGCUCGAGACACAAGUGAGAACUUUGAUUGGGCUGCAAACCUGUCGAAACAACUGCGGCGGACUCCCACACCAAGCCCACAAAGGCUUGAGGAGGUCCGAAGAUCUUUUAGUUGAGAGCGGACAGCGAGGCGAGCACGACACUGGGAGACUUUCAUUUUUCCUUUGUGAAUUUUGGUUUUCCGACACGGCUCGUUUUUAUUUAUUCGCUUUAUUUCAUUUAUGCGCAAACCUCUCUGAUUGAUGUUAGAUCGAGAUUCCUCAGAUACGUGAAAUGCGAAGCUGUUCUUUUUUUAAAAGCAAAAGGGAAGAUUUUGUGAAUCCGUUUCUAAAUAUUUACAUUCAGAAGCAUCAGCGGUAAGCCGUCGAGCCGGUAUGCGCGCUCUGUUUGCUUUGUAGCAUUACCUCACGCCCCAGCGGGUCACCCAGGGGUCUCCAGCCGUCUCCACCGCCCCGUUCUUAUCGCCCGGGCUUCUCUGUUCUCAGUCAGAGAGGAAGUUUUGACAGCCACACUUUACAACCUCCUCUCCCCCUGCCUGCCUGCCGCGCACAUGCUCUGACAGAAAUCAAGUCCAGUGACCUCAUCCCUCAUUCACCAAACCUACCCCACCCUCCCUGUUCUCUCUCUCUCUCUCUCUC